Molecule: unclassified non-coding RNA, 240 nt
Filed under: soil metagenome
Description: partial contains 5.8S ribosomal RNA, internal transcribed spacer 2, and large subunit ribosomal RNA
Source: RNAcentral
AACCAUAGAAACCUGCGGAGUACCUGCGGAAGGAUCAUUACCGAGUUUACAACUCCCAAACCCAAUGUGAACGUUACCAAACUGUUGCCUCGGCGGGAUCUCUGCCCCGGGUGCGUCGCAGCCCCGGACCAAGGCGCCCGCCGGAGGACCAACCAAAACUCUUUUGUAUACCCCCUCGCGGGUUUCUUUAUAUCUGAGCCAUCUCGGCGCCUCUCGUAGGCGUUUCGAAAAUGAAUCAAA